AGAGUUUGAUCCUGGCUCAGAACGAACGCUGGCGGCGCGCCUAAUACAUGCAAGUCGAGCGAGAAGGUGUAGCAAUACACUUGUAAAGCGGCGAACGGGUGAGGAAUACAUGGGUAAUCUACCAUCGAGUGGGGAAUAACCAACCGAAAGGUUGGCUAAUACCGCGUACGCCUCCGAGUCUUCGGGUUCGGAGGGAAAGCUGCACUGUGAGUGUAGCGCUCUUUGAUGAGCUCAUGUCCUAUCAGCUUGUUGGUAGGGUAACGGCCUACCAAGGCUUUGACGGGUAGCUGGUCUGAGAGGACGAUCAGCCACACUGGCACUGCGACACGGGCCAGACUCCUACGGGAGGCAGCAGUAAGGAAUAUUGCGCAGUGGGCGAAAGCCUGACGCAGCGACGCCGCGUGGGGGAUGAAGGUCUUCGGAUUGUAAACCCCUUUCGGGAGGGAAGAUGGAGCGAGCAAUCGUUCGGACGGUACCUCCAGAAGCAGCCACGGCCAACUUCGUGCCAGCAGCCGCGGUAAUACGAAGGUGGCAAGCGUUGUUCGGAUUCACUGGGCGUACAGGGUGUGUAGGCGGUUUGGUAAGCCUUCUGUUAAAGCUUCGGGCCCAACCCGGAAAGCGCAGAGGGUACUGCCAGGCUAGAGGGUGGGAGAGGAGCGCGGAAUUCCCGGUGUAGCGGUGAAAUGCGUAGAGAUCGGGAGGAAGGCCGGUGGCGAAGGCGGCGCUCUGGAACAUACCUGACGCUGAGACACGAAAGCGUGGGGAGCAAACAGGAUUAGAUACCCUGGUAGUCCACGCCC
Molecule: ribosomal RNA, 800 nt
Filed under: uncultured bacterium
Lineage: Bacteria
Description: bacterial SSU rRNA
Rfam family: Bacterial small subunit ribosomal RNA
Source: RNAcentral